CGACUUUAUGUCCAUGUGUGUGCGGUAGCAAAUGCAUCAUCCUGCAGUCUUACGAGUAUAGUCUCUGUCUUUUGCAAUUUAGCCUCUUCCAAGAUUAGAAUUGGUUAUUAUAUACGUUGGGAGAUGUCUGUAGGUUGGACACCUGCAGUCAUGGAUGCGUAGUCUCCUCAGGCGUAUAGCUUGUGAAGGAAGUGAAUUGCUUUAUCUCACUUGAGAGUUUGCACCGGCUUCUCAAAAGCUCAAGUGUAUAUCGUGAUAAACUACUAUCUCUGGAAAAAUUAUAUAUUGUGGAGCACAAAGUCAACGUCGUGUCAAGAGUUUACUCAAUUUUAAGAGUUUGUAUGUCGUGUUAAAGAGUUUACUCAAUUUUAAAAUACUAAAAAUAUUCUUCAUGUUGGGCUGUGCUGACACGGGUCAUACCCCCUAGUCUUGACAUAUUUAAGGUGAUGAGUUUUAAAGACAUUUAGAUAUGUGCCAAAUUUUGUUUUUUCAUAAAUAGUCUUUGACUGGAUAUUGGUAUAUUAAAUAUUCUUUUUUGAGCUCGUUACAAAAGA
This is a long non-coding RNA of Capsicum annuum, 554 nucleotides long. RefSeq lists it as uncharacterized. Lineage: Eukaryota; Viridiplantae; Streptophyta; Magnoliopsida; Solanales; Solanaceae. The record is from RefSeq and is a predicted model, not a curated record. The transcript is spliced from 3 exons.